GGGUUGUGAGGUUAAGCGACUAAGCGUACACGGUGGAUGCCCUGGCAGUCAGAGGCGAUGAAGGGCGUGCUAAUCUGCGAUAAGCGCCGGUAAGGUGAUAUGAACCGUUAUAACCGGCGAUACCCGAAUGGGGAAACCCAGUGUGACUCGUCACACUAUCAUUAACUGAAUCCAUAGGUUAAUGAGGCGAACCGGGGGAACUGAAACAUCUAAGUACCCCGAGGAAAAGAAAUCAACCGAGAUUCCCCCAGUAGCGGCGAGCGAACGGGGAGGAGCCCAGAGCCUGAAUCAGCAUGUGUGUUAGUGGAAGCGUCUGGAAAGGCGCGCGAUACAGGGUGACAG
Molecule: ribosomal RNA, 342 nt
Filed under: Salmonella enterica
Lineage: Bacteria; Pseudomonadati; Pseudomonadota; Gammaproteobacteria; Enterobacterales; Enterobacteriaceae
Also listed under: 2 other names
Description: partial 23S ribosomal RNA
Rfam family: Bacterial large subunit ribosomal RNA
Source: RNAcentral